RNAcentral lists this ribosomal RNA (505 nucleotides) under uncultured bacterium. Its description in RNAcentral is "bacterial SSU rRNA". It matches the Rfam family "Bacterial small subunit ribosomal RNA", at positions 29 to 524 of the family's 1533-position model. The record is from RNAcentral.
AGUGAACGCUGGCGGCAGGCCUAAUACAUGCAAGUCGAACGGCAGCACAGCAGAGCUUGCUCUGUGGGUGGCGAGUGGCGGACGGGUGAGGAAUACGUGGGAAUCUGCCCAGUCGUGGGGAUAACGUAGGGAAACUUACGCUAAUACCGCAUGCGCCCUUCGGGGAAAGCCGGGGACCUUCGGGCCUGGCGCGAUUGGAUGAGCCCACGUCGGAUUAGCUAGUUGGCGGGGUAAAGGCCCACCAAGGCGACGAUCCGUAGCUGGUCUGAGAGGAUGAUCAGCCACACUGGAACUGAGACACGGUCCAGACUCCUACGGGAGGCAGCAGUAGGGAAUAUUGGACAAUGGGCGCAAGCCUGAUCCAGCCAUGCCGCGUGAGUGAAGAAGGCCCUCGGGUUGUAAAGCUCUUUUGUCCGGAAAGAAAAGCGCCGGGUUAAUACCCUGGUGUCCUGACGGUACCGGAAGAAUAAGCACCGGCUAACUUCGUGCCAGCAGCCGCGGUAAU